Molecule: ribosomal RNA, 399 nt
Filed under: uncultured bacterium
Lineage: Bacteria
Description: bacterial SSU rRNA
Rfam family: Bacterial small subunit ribosomal RNA
Source: RNAcentral
GAUGAACGCUAGCGGCAGGCUUAACACAUGCAAGUCGAGGGGCAGCACUGGUAGCAAUACUUGGUGGCGACCGGCGCAAGGGUGCGUAACGCGUGAGCAACAUGCCCGUAUCAGGGGGAUAAUCCAUGGAAACGUGGUCUAAUACCCCAUAGUAAGUUUUUGGGGCAUCUCAAAGAUUUUAAAGCUUUGGUGGAUACGGAUUGGCUCGCGUGACAUUAGCUAGAUGGAAAGGUAACGGCUUACAUGGCUACGAUGUCUAGGGGUUCUGAGAGGAAGGUCCCCACACUGGAACUGAGACACGGUCCAGACUCCUACGGGAGGCAGCAGUGAGGAAUAUUGGACAAUGGGCGCAAGCCUGAUCCAGCCAUGCCGCGUGAGUGAAGAAGGCCUGGUGUAACU